RNAcentral lists this small nuclear RNA (320 nucleotides) under Pteropus vampyrus (large flying fox). Its description in RNAcentral is "7SK RNA (ENSPVAG00000027153.1)". It matches the Rfam family "7SK RNA". From Rfam's summary of the family: 7SK was discovered as an abundant small nuclear RNA in the mid-70s but a possible function has only recently been suggested. The record is from RNAcentral. Lineage: Eukaryota; Metazoa; Chordata; Mammalia; Chiroptera; Pteropodidae.
GGAUGUGAGGGCGAUCUGGCUGUGACAUCUGUCAGCUCAUUGAUUACCAGGGUUGAUUUGGCUGAUCUGGCUGGCUAGGCGGGUGUCCCCUUCCUCCCUCACCACUCCAUGUGUGUCCCUCCCAAAGAGGCAUACUCGGUUGGAGAGGACGACCUUUCCUGAUAGAGGAGAGCACCAUUCUUAGGUCAAGGAUAUACGAGUUAGCUGCGCUCCCCUGCUAGAACCUCCAAACAAGCUCUCCAAGUCUUUGUGAAAUAUUGUGAUGAAUUUUUUUUUUUACCUGGUAAAUAUCCCUUCACAAUGAUUAAUUAGAUCUAAAG